This 2657-nucleotide unclassified non-coding RNA is filed under the name Drosophila ananassae. Its description in RNAcentral is "GF15037". The record is from RNAcentral. Lineage: Eukaryota; Metazoa; Arthropoda; Insecta; Diptera; Drosophilidae.
GCGUGUGUGUGGGAGUGUGUGUGCGUGCAGCCUGCGUGGGUUGCAUGGAAUGUAUAAUAAAUAAAGCAAAGUCCCAGGCACAGCGCCCCAGUCCCAGUCCCAGGAGCUGAAAAAACCAUGAUAAAGUUUGUCAGGCAGAAAAAUCGCGAGAACUCAUUAAGGGAAUCCAAAAAUUUUCUGCGUAAAAAGCGUGAAUCGAAUGACUCUGGCACCGAAUCUGAUGGUGAACUCCUCGAUGUGGAAAGUUACUUAGACGUGGACAUGGAAACUAGUGUUGCUGGCCAAAAGAUAGCUCCUGCCAUGAUGUGUCACCAGCAGACCUCGUCCUCGUGCGCCCAUCUCAUGUACGACCAGCACAGCUCCGAGGAAGAGCUGGAGGUGAUCAACGGGCCCUCGUCGCAGGGCGGCCAGCAUCCCGGCGGCACGGCAGCGACGGGCGGGUCCUCGUGCGCCUCUCGGAUCUCGAACCGGGGAUGCGCCUCCUCCCUGGACACGGAGGCGCCAUUCGAGGAGCGGGCCACCACCUCCAACUCGAAGCGCUCCAGCUCCUCCCUGAUGGUGGAGAACCGGAAGCGGUCGCUGGCCCACAGCUCCGACGACGAGCUGCGAAACUCGCUGGAGCCGAUCUUGACGCCGGUCAAUUUCCGCACAUCGCCGCCACUGGAGGCGUUCAAGCCAAAUCGAAGCCAUAUGAUGUUCCGCUCCACAACGCCACUGAUAUUAUCGGAGGCCCGAUGUGGCAUCGAAAAUAUUAAAUUAUGUGAUAAUAGUGUAAACGAGGAGAACGGCGACAACGGCGGCGGUGGGGGCGGCGGCAAGUGCGCCAAAAUCGGAACUGGAUCGGGGACCGGCGGGAACGAGAACGAGCCGAGCGUGAUCAAGGCCUGCAGCAGCUCCCUGAAGAUGAGCAACAGCAGCCACCACAUCUACCAGCCGCUGCCGAAGUACAGUUUCCACUACAACAGCUCCCGGAGCAGUCCGGCCAGCACCACCGGCCUGGACAACAUGGAGGUGCGGUCGGUCAGUCCGCCGGCGAAGCUGUUCCACUGCGCCAUAUCGCCCCGGAGGCGUCCGAGCAACAACUCCAGCGCGCCAGCGGGAUCCUCCGGCGCAGUCGCGGGAUCCUCGUCAUCCACAACGACACAGAACGCUGCCAACUCUGCCGGAAACGGAGCGUCCGCGUCCGCCGCCGUCGCCGCCACCCAGAGACUGCAGCGACCGCAUCGGCCGUGCUUAGAUUUUGAUAAGAUGCAGCAGGUGAGUCUCUAAUGCAGAGCGCGCUAACAGCCAGCAGCGGAGCAAGGACGAAGGCUGGAGGGUGGAGGACGAAAAGGAACAGGAACAGAAACAGUAACCGUAACCGUAACCGCAACAGCCACUGAAACAGAUCCGAAAGCGAAACUUCAGGUCGGGAAGCACACCAUCUAGCAGCAACAGUCGGAGGAUAACAAGGUCCAAACCAAACUAAAUAAGCCGGAGCAGCAGCUUCAGCUGGAGCUGGAGCUGAAGCUACAAUUAAAGGACAAGCAGCCCAAGGAGAAUAUCAUCAAAUCAAAUUAUAUAAUUAUAAAGGUACUUCAAAUUUUAAAGCAAAGCAGCAACCAGAAACCAAAAACCAAAAAUGAAAACGAAAACGAUAACAAGAAACCUAAAAUUUACAAUAGAAGCAGCUAUUUUUUCACACUUUUAAACUGGAAACUGUGACAAGCGAGGAGGCACGAACAGAGAUCGUAUUGGGGAGCAGGGAUACAGAAUCAGAAACUGAUCAGAUCGAGGUUAAGAUUUAGGUGUACGACGUAGCAACUAUGAGGAGGGAGGGAAGCCCCGUCAGUCGAAGCUGACAACUGAAAACUGUAAAUAUUGUAUGUGUGUGGAGGGGAAUCCUUUGAAGAAUUGGCACGCCAUCAGGGGGAAGAGGACGCCUCUUUUAAGGGGCGCCAGAAAGUAUUUUAAUUUUUUAAUAGGAGACCGGCGAACGGCAACAUGGUGAUGUAGACAGAAGACUCAGAACUCGAAAAAGAGCGAAAUUAUAUUUCUAUAGGGAUGCAGGAUGCAGGAGGCUGGACACUUGGGAGGAGGAGGAAAUAGUAGGGCAGACAAUGUGAAGUAACAAUAGCAACUGAAGUAAUAUAAACAGAAACCACAAACCAAACAUAACUUUUGUACGCUCCGGAGUUGGAAGACAGUAAUAUGUGUUUAAAGUACGAGGUGGAAUAGCGAGCUAUUUUAUAAACAAUAUUCAAUUAAUCCGCAAAUAGGAAACCGGCUUAGGAGGAGAAACAAACCAAACCAAAAAGCUGCCAUCAACAUGCAAGCGUGGGAUGAGGGCUCCUCAGUUUACCAGACAUGGUUGAUUGGGAAGAUUGGCGAUCCAGUACGAUUAUUAUGCGAUUGGCAGGCGUUUGCGAGCUCAUAAGUGUAUUAGUAAUUAACCCUUCUUUGUCGACUAAUUGCAACCAGGAUCAGAAUCAGGAUCGGGAUCAGGGCCAGGAGCUGGAGCUGGAGAACAGAAGGCAGGAAGCAAACCCCAUAUUCAAUUUAAACGAAAAGCUAAACCCAGUAACGUGUGCAACCAUAGCAGCGAAACAAAAAACAUACAUUCUUAAGUACCAUACAUAUAUAUUAAAGCCAGAGGGAGAUAUUCAACGUAAAGCUAA